GGUCUGGUGGUCUAGUGGUAUGAUUCUCGCUUAGGGUACACCCUAUGCUCAAUUUGCGAGAGGUCCCGGGUUCAAUCCCCGGCCAGACCC
Molecule: transfer RNA, 90 nt
Filed under: Xylaria telfairii
Lineage: Eukaryota; Fungi; Ascomycota; Sordariomycetes; Xylariales; Xylariaceae
Description: tRNA-Pro
Rfam family: tRNA
About the family: Transfer RNA (tRNA) molecules are approximately 80 nucleotides in length. Their secondary structure includes four short double-helical elements and three loops (D, anti-codon, and T loops).
Source: RNAcentral